UACAGAGGGUGCAAGCGUUAAUCGGAAUUACUGGGCAUAAAGCGCGCGUAGGUGGUUUGUUAAGUUGGAUGUGAAAUCCCCGGGCUCAACCUGGGAACUGCAUCCAAAACUGGCAAGCUAGAGUAUGGUAGAGGGUGGUGGAAUUUCCUGUGUAGCGGUGAAAUGCGUAGAUAUAGGAAGGAACACCAGUGGCGAAGGCGACCACCUGGACUGAUACUGACACUGAGGUGCGAAAGCGUGGGGAGCAAACAGG
This 253-nucleotide ribosomal RNA is filed under the name uncultured bacterium. Its description in RNAcentral is "partial 16S ribosomal RNA". It matches the Rfam family "Bacterial small subunit ribosomal RNA", at positions 524 to 776 of the family's 1533-position model. The record is from RNAcentral.